UAGUUUUGUUUCUGUUUUUCUUUGCAGCCAAGCUCUUCUCCAGGAAGUGAAAAUGUGGUGCCUCGAGAGCCAUUGAUUGCCACAGCAGUGAAGUUCCUACAGAAUUCUCGGGUCCGGCAGAGCCCACUUGCAACCAGGAGAGCAUUUCUUAAGAAGAAAGUGGAGCAGAGAAAUUACAGGAUUUGAACAAGUAAGCAGCAGAUAUGAGACCAAGAGCAUCAUGGUACAGUCAGCUCUCAGUAGCAGAAUUGGCCCAUUGAAUAAGCCUGGAGGACUCCUGCUUCUUGGUCAGUCUGCUAGUGACCUGACUACAAAAGACCUUCUUGGGCUAGGAGAGGUCAGCUGCUUUGGUAAAGAACCACAGAGAAGCAAAAGACCAAGGAAAUGAGGUGAAUAAACAGUUGAGAUGAGGCCAAGCUCCGAUCAAUCUGAUUUCCAGAUUGAAACGGUAGGUUCCUAAUUUUUUUGGUAUUUCUGUAGACUGGAAUAAAAUGGAUCCUGACAAGUUCUGUAUUGUUGAAGCAGAUAGAACCUAUUCUCAUUCUAUUGCAAUUUAGGAUAUUUUUGGGGUUUUUUUGUAAAGCAAAAACAACCAUCUAACCAAAAAAGAAGGCAGACUUUUUAUUCUUAGGACUUUUACUUUUCUAGAGAUCUAGGAGGCUACUUAAAGAGCUUUACAUAACACUGAGGGUGUGUGUGU
Molecule: non-coding RNA, 700 nt
Organism: Cricetulus griseus (Chinese hamster)
Lineage: Eukaryota; Metazoa; Chordata; Mammalia; Rodentia; Cricetidae
Source: RefSeq, a predicted model, not a curated record